AGUGAACGCUGGCGGUAGGCCUAACACAUGCAAGUCGAACGGAAGCACAGUAAGAGCUUGCUCUUACGGGUGGCGAGUGGCGGACGGGUGAGGAAUACAUCGGAAUCUACUUUUUCGUGGGGGAUAACGUAGGGAAACUUACGCUAACACCGCAUACGACCUACGGGAGAAAGCAGUGGAUCUUCGGACCUUGCGCGAUUGAAUGAGCCGAUGUCGGAUUAGCUAGUUGGCGGGGUAAAGGCCCACCAAGGCGACGAUCCGUAGCUGGUCUGAGAGGAUGAUCAGCCACACUGGAACUGAGACACGGUCCAGACUCCUACGGGAGGCAGCAGUGGGGAAUAUUGGACAAUGGGCGCAAGCCUGACGCAGCCAUGCCGCGUGGGUGAAGAAGGCCUUCGGGUUGUAAAGCCCUUUUGUUGGGAAAGAAAAGCAGUAUGUGAAUACCCCGCUGUUCUGACGGUACCCAAAGAAUAAGCACCGGCUAACUUCGUG
RNAcentral lists this ribosomal RNA (492 nucleotides) under uncultured bacterium. RNAcentral describes it as "partial 16S ribosomal RNA". It matches the Rfam family "Bacterial small subunit ribosomal RNA", at positions 29 to 507 of the family's 1533-position model. The record is from RNAcentral.